CCGGGGAGGCGGGGCGCUAUAAUGCAGUCGAGCGGACAGAUGGGAGCUUGCUCCCUGAUGUUAGCGGCGGACGGGUGAGUAACACGUGGGUAACCUGCCUGUAAGACUGGGAUAACUCCGGGAAACCGGGGCUAAUACCGGAUGGUUGUCUGAACCGCAUGGUUCAGACAUAAAAGGUGGCUUCGGCUACCACUUACAGAUGGACCCGCGGCGCAUUAGCUAGUUGGUGAGGUAACGGCUCACCAAGGCGACGAUGCGUAGCCGACCUGAGAGGGUGAUCGGCCACACUGGGACUGAGACACGGCCCAGACUCCUACGGGAGGCAGCAGUAGGGAAUCUUCCGCAAUGGACGAA
Molecule: ribosomal RNA, 354 nt
Filed under: uncultured Bacillus sp.
Lineage: Bacteria; Bacillati; Bacillota; Bacilli; Caryophanales; Bacillaceae
Description: bacterial SSU rRNA
Rfam family: Bacterial small subunit ribosomal RNA
Source: RNAcentral